AGUGAACGCUGGCGGUAGGCCUAACACAUGCAAGUCGAACGGCAGCACAGUAAGAGCUUGCUCUUACGGGUGGCGAGUGGCGGACGGGUGAGGAAUACAUCGGAAUCUACUUUUUCGUGGGGGAUAACGUAGGGAAACUUACGCUAAUACCGCAUACGACCUACGGGUGAAAGCAGGGGAUCUUCGGACCUUGCGCGAUUGAAUGAGCCGAUGUCGGAUUAGCUAGUUGGCGGGGUAAAGGCCCACCAAGGCGACGAUCCGUAGCUGGUCUGAGAGGAUGAUCAGCCACACUGGAACUGAGACACGGUCCAGACUCCUACGAGAGGCAGCAGUGGGGAAUAUUGGACAAUGGGCGCAAGCCUGAUCCAGCCAUACCGCGUGGGUGAAGAAGGCCUUCGGGUUGUAAAGCCCUUUUGUUGGGAAAGAAAAGCAGCAGGUUAAUACCCCGCGGUUCUGACGGUACCCAAAGAAUAAGCACCGGCUAACUUCGUG
This 492-nucleotide ribosomal RNA is filed under the name uncultured bacterium. RNAcentral's name for it is "partial 16S ribosomal RNA". It matches the Rfam family "Bacterial small subunit ribosomal RNA", at positions 29 to 507 of the family's 1533-position model. The record is from RNAcentral.